RNAcentral lists this ribosomal RNA (465 nucleotides) under uncultured Klebsiella sp. RNAcentral's name for it is "bacterial SSU rRNA". It matches the Rfam family "Bacterial small subunit ribosomal RNA", at positions 338 to 795 of the family's 1533-position model. The record is from RNAcentral. Lineage: Bacteria; Pseudomonadati; Pseudomonadota; Gammaproteobacteria; Enterobacterales; Enterobacteriaceae.
CCUACGGGAGGCAGCAGUGGGGAAUAUUGCACAAUGGGCGCAAGCCUGAUGCAGCCAUGCCGCGUGUGUGAAGAAGGCCUUCGGGUUGUAAAGCACUUUCAGCGGGGAGGAAGGCGUUAAGGUUAAUAACCUUGGCGAUUGACGUUACCCGCAGAAGAAGCACCGGCUAACUCCGUGCCAGCAGCCGCGGUAAUACGGAGGGUGCAAGCGUUAAUCGGAGUUACUGGGCGUAAAGCGCACGCAGGCGGUCUGUCAAGUCGGAUGUGAAAUCCCCGGGCUCAACCUGGGAACUGCAUUCGAAACUGGCAGGCUAGAGUCUUGUAGAGGGGGGUAGAAUUCCAGGUGUAGCGGUGAAAUGCGUAGAGAUCUGGAGGAAUACCGGUGGCGAAGGCGGCCCCCUGGACAAAGACUGACGCUCAGGUGCGAAAGCGUGGGGAGCAAACAGGAUUAGAUACCCCGGUAGUC